This 149-nucleotide ribosomal RNA is filed under the name uncultured Lactococcus sp. RNAcentral's name for it is "partial 16S ribosomal RNA". It matches the Rfam family "Bacterial small subunit ribosomal RNA", at positions 337 to 474 of the family's 1533-position model. Lineage: Bacteria; Bacillati; Bacillota; Bacilli; Lactobacillales; Streptococcaceae. The record is from RNAcentral.
UCCUUCCGGGGGCCGCCGUUGGGAAUUUUUGCCCAAGGGCGGAAGUCUGGACGAGCCACGCCCCGUGAGUGAAGAAGGUCUCUUCGGAUCUGUAAAACUCUGUUGGUAGAGAAGAACGUUGGUGAGAGUGGAAAGCUCAUCAAGUGACG